UACGUAGGGAGCAAGCGUUAUCCGGAUUUACUGGGUUUAAAGGGUGCGUAGGCGGCUUUUUAAGUCAGCGGUGAAAUUUUGCAGCUUAACUGUAACAGUGCCGUUGAUACUGGGGAGCUAGGAUUUGGUUGCUGUGGGUGGAAUGUGUGGUGUAGCGGUGAAAUGCUUAGAGAUCACACAGAAUAUCGAUUGCGAAGGCAGCUCACAAAGCCAAGAUUGACGCUGAGGCACGAAAGUGUGGGGAUCAAACAGGAUUAGA
RNAcentral lists this ribosomal RNA (259 nucleotides) under uncultured prokaryote. RNAcentral describes it as "partial 16S ribosomal RNA". It matches the Rfam family "Bacterial small subunit ribosomal RNA", at positions 524 to 782 of the family's 1533-position model. The record is from RNAcentral.